Molecule: long non-coding RNA, 916 nt
Filed under: Sinocyclocheilus grahami
Lineage: Eukaryota; Metazoa; Chordata; Actinopteri; Cypriniformes; Cyprinidae
Description: lncRNA (ENSSGRG00000031512.1)
Source: RNAcentral
CGCUCAGCGGACAUCAUGGGCUGUGUUCCAAUCCUAGUGAGGCGCGCUAUGUAGACAGCGCGCUAGAGCGUCACGUGAUCCUGACGCUGACUCCACACGCUGUCUAUGUAGGCGGCGCCAUAGAGUUAGAGACGCGGCCAGUGUGACACACACACACACACACACACACUUUCUCUGUCUCUCUCUCACACACACACACACACACACACACACUACUGAGUGAAAGUUGGAUAUCCCGCUGGCCGUGUCGAAUCGUAUCGCUUCCCGCGAAAAGCCCGUUUAAAUCCGCGCUCGAGCUAAUUUGUCGUUAUUUGGUCGUCCUCGGACUCCGGGACCGUUGGCGGAUUUGAGGCGGAAGCUCCACACAGACAUGCCCAGACACAAUAUGGAAACGCAGAAGAGUCAAUGGGACCCGGUCCGGAGAUCGCCGUGGAUCGUGAGAGUGGAGCAGAGCCCCGCCUCCUCGGGGGCGGAGUCAGACACCGAGGGCAGCAGCACAGAGAGCGAACAGGUAAAUACACGCUUUCCUCUCAUAACCAGUGCUGUGGAUCAGCUGCACUCAUCUCUCCUUCUGUGCUUAACCAGCAUCGGGUCAAACAGGGAGGCGGAGUCUCGCUGACAUCACCGUCAAUGCUGCAGCAGCGAAUCACGGAGCUCGACCAGCAGAGGGAGGAGCUAAAGAUUGAGCUGCAGCUGGAGGUGGCGCUGCUGCGAGGGGAGCUGCAGGCUGAACAGGAGCGUCUGCGCAGACACACAGAGCAGCUGCAGGAGAAGCACAGGCAGCGCAAGAGCCAGCGCUUGGCCAGCAGACAGAAGGUCUGCCUCUGAUCUGUUCACCCUUAUGAUGCAUGAUUACUGUAGGGAUGCACAAUAUUAUCGAACCGAUAUCAGAAUUGGCUGAUAAUGGCUUUCAAGG